RNAcentral lists this ribosomal RNA (470 nucleotides) under Escherichia sp. S69_ASV_4. Its description in RNAcentral is "bacterial SSU rRNA". It matches the Rfam family "Bacterial small subunit ribosomal RNA", at positions 161 to 626 of the family's 1533-position model. The record is from RNAcentral. Lineage: Bacteria; Pseudomonadati; Pseudomonadota; Gammaproteobacteria; Enterobacterales; Enterobacteriaceae.
AGCUAAUACCGCAUAACGUCGCAAGACCAAAGAGGGGGACCUUCGGGCCUCUUGCCAUCGGAUGUGCCCAGAUGGGAUUAGCUUGUUGGUGGGGUAACGGCUCACCAAGGCGACGAUCCCUAGCUGGUCUGAGAGGAUGACCAGCCACACUGGAACUGAGACACGGUCCAGACUCCUACGGGAGGCAGCAGUGGGGAAUAUUGCACAAUGGGCGCAAGCCUGAUGCAGCCAUGCCGCGUGUAUGAAGAAGGCCUUCGGGUUGUAAAGUACUUUCAGCGGGGAGGAAGGGAGUAAAGUUAAUACCUUUGCUCAUUGACGUUACCCGCAGAAGAAGCACCGGCUAACUCCGUGCCAGCAGCCGCGGUAAUACGGAGGGUGCAAGCGUUAAUCGGAAUUACUGGGCGUAAAGCGCACGCAGGCGGUUUGUUAAGUCAGAUGUGAAAUCCCCGGGCUCAACCUGGGAACUGCAU